GCCUGGGUGGCUCAGUUGGUUAAGCAUCUGACUUCAGCUCAGGUCAUGAUCUCCCAGUUUUUGGGUUCGAGUCCCACAUUGGGCU
Molecule: transfer RNA, 85 nt
Filed under: Felis catus (domestic cat)
Lineage: Eukaryota; Metazoa; Chordata; Mammalia; Carnivora; Felidae
Rfam family: tRNA
About the family: Transfer RNA (tRNA) molecules are approximately 80 nucleotides in length.
Source: Rfam by way of RNAcentral